Molecule: long non-coding RNA, 741 nt
Filed under: Helianthus annuus (common sunflower)
Lineage: Eukaryota; Viridiplantae; Streptophyta; Magnoliopsida; Asterales; Asteraceae
Description: Bacterial large subunit ribosomal RNA
Rfam family: Bacterial large subunit ribosomal RNA
Source: RNAcentral
UAAGACACGAUUAGACCUGUUUACUGAAAAGUACGCUACGUGAUUUUUUAUUUUUUAAAAAUAAAUAAAAUUAGGAGUGGUCUGGUCAACCCUUUACCAAAAACACAGGUCUCCGCAAAGUCGUAAGACCAUGUAUGGGGGCUGACAUCUGCCUAGUGCCGGAAGGUCAUGUAAGUUGGUGACCUGAUGACAGGGGAGCCGGUGACCGAAGCCCCGGUGCACAACACCGAAAUUCUGGGUUUUAAAAAGCGCGCCUGAGGCGCGCCUAGGCGCACUGAGGUGUAGGCCUUAGCGCCUCAGGUCACCUGAGGCGCGCAUGCCUUUUCCAAAAAGUGCAAGAAAAGCGCAUUUUUUGGGUUUUUUUUUGGGGUCUGAGGCGCGCACUUUAUGUAUUUGGGUAUUUUUAUAUUUGUUUUAUGCAUUAAAGGGUUGUGCAAAAGGUUUUUUGGCUUGUACAUGUAGGUAACAUCAUAUAUAAACCUUAUUUAUACUUAUAUUUUGGAUAAGAGAUGCUAAAAACCUAUAGGAUAUAUAUAAAAAUUGAUAUAAUCUCCUUGCGCCUUGGGUACGAAAAGCCCACCGCUUUUGCGCUUCACACCUCAUUUUUAGACCUUGUCGCUUUUGUGCACCUCUCGCUUUUUAAAACCAAGGCCGAAACUAUAACUAUCCUAAGGUAGCGAAAUUCCUUAUUGGGUAUGUUCCGACCCGCGCGAAAGGCGUAAGGAUCUGGGCAUUGUCUUG